This 365-nucleotide ribosomal RNA is filed under the name Bacillus sp. AN13. Its description in RNAcentral is "bacterial SSU rRNA". It matches the Rfam family "Bacterial small subunit ribosomal RNA", at positions 975 to 1339 of the family's 1533-position model. Lineage: Bacteria; Bacillati; Bacillota; Bacilli; Caryophanales; Bacillaceae. The record is from RNAcentral.
CAGGUCUUGACAUCCUCUGACAACCCUAGAGAUAGGGCGUUCCCCUUCGGGGGACAGAGUGACAGGUGGUGCAUGGUUGUCGUCAGCUCGUGUCGUGAGAUGUUGGGUUAAGUCCCGCAACGAGCGCAACCCUUGAUCUUAGUUGCCAGCAUUCAGUUGGGCACUCUAAGGUGACUGCCGGUGACAAACCGGAGGAAGGUGGGGAUGACGUCAAAUCAUCAUGCCCCUUAUGACCUGGGCUACACACGUGCUACAAUGGAUGGAACAAAGGGUCGCGAAGCCGCGAGGUGAAGCCAAUCCCAUAAAUCCAUUCUCAGUUCGGAUUGCAGGCUGCAACUCGCCUGCAUGAAGCCGGAAUCGCUAGU